AUGAUGAAGGCUAGAUAUUUAUGCUAACACUAAAUUAGUUCCACAAGCUUUGUUGUCUAUUUGAGCUCCACAUGAUUUAAGAAUCAAGAAGACUAGCAGACGGAGGACAUUCUAAUCGCUGUCAGAAUGCUGCUGACUUUCAAAUACACCUUUGCCACCUGCUAGCAACAUCAAGAGAAAUUACGUCAAAAUUCAGCUUGGGGGAGAGCACCCCCAUUUAUCUCGCUAAGUAUUUCUACCUAUCUUUAUACUUAUAUUAUAUUAGAAUAUUAAAAUACAUAAACUAUGAAAAACCAAAUAAAGAUUUUGUGCUUAUAUAUAUAUCUUUUGCUUAGUGUGUUUAAUAAAUAAAUAAAGUGGCUAUGCUAAUCUGAAUCUUAAUAAUAAAACUCUAGCAUGGAUAUGAUGAAUAGUUGUUCUGCCUAAUUUGCAAAUUUGAAGUUCUCUCUCAAGUUUAGACAUAACUGUUAUAAUUUAAAGCUUGCUCUAGAUCUAAACUUAUGGGAUGAAAACUUGAUCUGAAAUCUAAUAAGUUGUUAACGGAUAUGAUAUGGGAUGGUUGAGCUGCUGUUUAUCUGUGCCUGGAGAUGCCAGAAUUCUGGAGAAUUUUAUCUUUAAAAAAUCUUUAAAAUAUUGCAUGAUGAGUUCGUGUAUGAUGAGAGUUUAAAUUCCUACCACAGCCAUAUAUGUACAUGCUUGCUAGACUUUGAGCCACACAUUUAUUAUUUACUGCUUAUGAGCAUUGAGUGUGGUCAAGCUGUGUAGACCCUUAGGAGCUUGUCAUGUGGUUAAAUCAAGAUUCACUUGCACGUUCACUCAUAUAUGCUACUUCUACUCCGGAAGUACCAUCCACAUAUAUCCAUCCAUGUCCAUCUCCAGAACCACCCAAAAAUAUUCUACUCCUAAUUCAGGAGAGAAUAGCCAAAAAUAUUUCUGUUUUCCCUUGUAAAAUAAAUGCUCAAGUUAUCUUGCUACUACCACUUGCUAUAUUAUCUCAAGAGAUGAAUGCUCUGAAAAAAAAUAAUAAAUGAGGAAAUAAAAAGGGGCAAGUGCGCGGAACCUCGAAAAAAAGAAAAAGUGAGACGAGAGGUAAAAAUGGACAAGUGUCCGACAGUAGAAUUAGGGGUACAAGAUACCCACCUGAGAGGAAAGAAAAAUGAAAGAUAGAGCAUCUCAUUCCCCUCAUAAAGUUUCAAAAAGCAAGGAAGAUAUGUAUCCCCUCAAAAGAGCAAAAGUAGAAUUAGACUUUCACCAUUGUUAUCACCAUCAUCACCAUACACCAUUCAUUCGCCACACAUGCACAUCUUGAUUUGGCUUAUUGAUUUGUUUCUUUGGAUACAUGGUUUCACUAUACAAUAAAUGUCUUGUAAGUAUGUAUUAGCUGUCUCCCGCCUAUGAGCUCCAGAUAUUAAAGCCUUAUUAGAGUAGGGUGAGAGAGAAGGCAAUGUCACUAUGCCUUAUGCCACAAAUACCAUAUAUCUUGAGAGAAGGCAUAUACCAUCACUACCUUGGUAAGGAUCCAGAAAUACCACAAAAGAGAGAUUUAGAGGGUCAUACAAGGAAUCUCUGAGUUUUAUUUGAAAAUCUGCAAAAACUCUAGAGCUAUAGCUGAUCAAGAAUAAGAGACAUGGCACUUGGCUAGACUGUUCUAUCUUUUAACUACUCAAGACAGAAGUGACGGUUACAAGUCCCAUGGUGAAAGGUAAAGUAAGUAAGUUUUAGUUCUUGACAGUUUACUCUAACUCAGAGAUGAGAUCUUAUUUAAAAGCAUGUGUACCGUCAAAUUUUUAAGAUACUGCAACAACUUGAGAUCCAUCGCUGAGUCUAUCCUUGCUCAGGGACGAGCAAGAGGUAAGCUUGGGGGAGUUUGUUGACGGUCCUUAAGUAUAAAAUUUAAUUAUCAAAUAAAUAAAGAAAAGGAUCCAAAUACAACCAACAUCUAAACUUAGGGUUUUAUCUGACAGAAUUCCACGAGUUUUGGUGUUUGUCUAUUUCUGCAGGGGGUUAUCAGGAAAUAUGGAAGAAAGGCCCACACGUCGGGAAUACAUAGAGAUAUUAACGUGCCGCACAAUUUUACAUCAUCUAGAAGACUCCAGAAGCCACGGGAAGGUGAACGGGCCCGGGGGCAGGGCGCCCGCCCACCCCCCUUGGGCGCCCGCCCAGGAGUUGUAGUCAAACACGUCCAACUUUGCGGACCAAGCUCCACCGACCUAAAGGAUCAAGGAUAACCGUUCAAUCAAUGUCGGUUUGAUCCAACGGCCCAGGUUCACUUGAGGGGACUAUAUAACCAGACCCCCUGGUGUUGGGUAUUCUUAACAUCAUUACUAAAAGUAGACUAAGUUCUAAAUCUAGCAACGGUGCCAAAAAUGCCAAACCUAUCCCUCACACCACUUAAGCCAAGUUGUCAUCCCCAGCAUGAUAUGAGAGACGCGGUAUUGAAAUAUGCAAUUGCUCUUCUAAAUAAAUAAUGAAUGGGAUCUGCAAGCGCACAGAUUAAUACCGAUGUAGCAUUUUAACCGGGAAGUAUUCCAGGUAUCGUUAUUUAUAUUUUUACCACUGGAAAGGGAUUAGCAAUCAUCACUAUUGAUUAUAGAAUAGAAUAUGAGAUUGAGCAUCUAUCAUUGCAUGUAUAAUUGAGAACAUUAUAUCUAACUCAUUAUACAGGGAUAAAUGUCACAUAAAAGAUAUAUGAAAUAAUAAUAGUGACAAGGAUAACUAAUCUGAUCUAGCCACAUAAUAAAUAUGAUAAGCACCUCAAUUAGAUACUCUAGAAAGUCAUUAGCAUGGUAUUAGACCGAACUACAAGAAUAUUCCCUAAGUUAUUCUUAACUAUAUAGUCUAGCAUUAUCAUAGUUAGUGCAAGCAUACUUAGCAAUCAUUGUGAGACAAGACUACGCCCAUGCAUAGUGAUAUUAGCAAGGAAUAUGAGAAACAUAGCAAUCACUCCCCUGUAAUAAUGUUGCUCUGCCAGCCCAAUACACGAGAGGGGGACUAUAUAAGAAUCAAUGAAGCUGUCACUAUCACGAACAACCCCACGAUCUGGCAUAUUGGGUACAAUCGCAGAUAAAUACGGUAUAAGCACCACGCCUACACAAUAUCUAUCAUUUACCCAUGGAUCCGAUGGAUAAACGCUAUACGAUCCUAAGCAUGUAUAUAGAUCGUAUCUAACUAAGCCAAGUACAUAACUAUGAUAAACUAAGAACAAUAUAAUCUUGAAUAUAAGCAAGUAGAGCAAAGUCAUAAGCAAUAUAUUGAAGUAGAACAAAGUCAUAUUCAUAAUAUUGAAGAACAAAGAUAAUUAGAAAGCAAUUAGAAGCACAAUUAGAAGAUUACCAAGAAUCCUCCUGACAGAUCCGGAAACCAAUCGAAGAUUGACUCCUUCUAGUUCUAAUCCUAUGUAGCUAUGCUAAUCUAGAUGUCUAAUUGAUGUGGUGGCUCUAAUCUUGAUCAGAGGCUUCUUCUCCCUUGAUGGAACAAUGAAUUAGGGUUGAGAGGCUCUCUCGUCCAGGGGCCAGGGGGUCUGGUUUUAUAGUCCCUCCAAGUAAAUAUGGGCCCUUGGAUCAAACCGACAUAGAUUGUAUGGUUUAGAUUCAUCCUUUAGGUCGGUGGAGAUCUCCCGCAAAGCAGAGUCCUGAUUGGACUCAGGAGGUGGGCGGGCGCCCUGACCAACUAGGCGGCCGCCCAGGGUCUGGCCCCGUUUCGCCUCCGCUUCGGUCCCGUGGCUUCUGGAGUCUUCUAGAUGUAAGAUAAUUGCGCAGCACGUUAAUACCUUUACGUAAUCCUGACAUGUGGGCCUUUCUUCCGUAUUUCCUGAAAACCCCCUACAGAAAUAGACAAACACCAAAACUCGUGGAAUUCUGUCAGAUAAAACCCUAAGUCUAGAUAUUGAUUUCAUUUGGAUCCUUUUCUUUAUUUAGUUGAAAAUUAAAUUUGAUACUUAAGGACCGUCAACAAACUCCCCCAAGCUUACCUCUUGCUCGUCCCUGAGCAAGGAUAGACUCAGCUAUGGAUCAGAAGUAGUUGCAAUAUCUUUAAAAAUUUGACGGUACACAUGCUUUUAAAUAAGAUCUCAUCUCUAAGUUAGAGUAAACUGUCAAGACUUAAAACUUACUUACUUUACCUCCACCAUGGGACUUGUUACUGUCACUUCUGUCUUGAGUGGUUAAAAGAUAGAACAGGCUAGCCAAGUGCCAUGUCUCUUAUUCUUGAUCAGCAAUAGCUCUGGGAUUUUUGCAGAUUUUCAAAUAAAACUCAGAGAUUCCUUGUAUGAUUCUCUCAGGUCUCUCUUUUGUGGUAUUUUUGGAUCCUUACCAAGGCAUUGAUGGUAUAUGCCUUCUCUCAAGAUAUGUGGUAUUUGUGGUAUGAGGCAUAGUGAUAUUGCCUUCUCUCUCACCCUACUCUACUAAGGCUUUAAUAUCUAGAGCUCAUAGGUGGGAGAUAAAGUAUGCAUACUUACAAGACAUUUAUUGCAUAGUCAAACCAUGGAUCGAAAAUAACAAGUCAAUAAGUUUAAUCAAGAUGUGCAUGUGUGGCGAAUGAAUGGUAUAUGGUGAUGAUGGUGAUAACAAUGGUGAAAACAAUGGUGGUGGAAGUCUAAUUCUACUUUUGCUCUUUUGAGGGGAUACAUACCUUCCUUGCUUUUGAAACUUUAUGAUGAGAAUGAGAUGCUCUUCUUUUUCUUGUCUCUCAGGUGGGUAUCUUGCACCCCUAAUUCUACUGUCGGACACUUGUCCAUUUUUACCUCUCGUCUCACUUUUUUUCUUUUCGAGGUUCCGAGCACUUGCUCCUUUUUAUUUCCUCGUAUUAUUUUCUAUCUCUCUUUUUUUUAGAGCACUCAUCUCUUGAGAUAAUAUAGCAAGUGGUAGUAACAAGAUAACUUGAGCAUUUAUUUCACAAGGGGAAAACAGAAAUAUUUUUGGUUAUUCUCUCCCGGAUUAGGAGUAGAAUAUUUUUAGGUGGUUCUAGAGAUGGAAUGGGUGGAUAUAUGUGGAUGGUACUUCCGGAGUAGAAGUAGCAUAUAUGAGUGAACGUGCAAGUGAAAUCUUGAUUUAACCACAGGACAAGCUCCUAAGGGUCUACACAGCUUGACCACACUCAAUGCUCAUAAGCAGUAAAUAGUAAAUGUGUGGCUCAAAGUCUAGCAAGCAUGUAUAUAUGGCUGUGGUAGGAAUUUAAACUCUCAUCAUACAGGAACUCAUCAUGCAACAUUUUAAAGAUUUUCAAGAUAAAAUUCUCUAGAAUUCUAGCAUCUCUAGGAACAGAUAAACAGCAGCUCAGCCUUCCCAUAUCUUAUCCGUUAACAACUUAGACUUCAGAUCAAGUUUUCAUCCCACAAGUUUAGGUCUAGAGCAAGCUUUAAAUUAUAACUGUUGUUGACGGUCCUUAAGUAUCAAAUUUAAUUAUCAAAUAAACAAAGAAAAGGAUCCAAAUGAAAUCAACAUCUAGACUUAGGGUUUUAUCUGACAGAAUUCCACGAGUUUUGGUGUUUGUCUAUUUCUGCAGGGGGUUAUCAGGAAAUAAGGAAGAAAGGCCCACAUGUCGGGAUUACAUAGAGAUAUCAACCCACCGUGCAAUUUUCUACCAUCUAGAAGACUCCAGAAGACACGGGAAGGAAGCGGAGCCCGAAAGGGGCCAGGCCCAGGGCGCCCGCCCUGAGGACCUGGGCGCCCGCCCCCCUCUGGACUCCGUUCCGGACUCUCUUCGCACACGACGUUCCACCGACCAAUUGGAUCCAGAAUAACAUAGUACCACCUCGCCUAUCGACCCAAAAACGCAUAGAAGGGGAGGACUAUAUAAGGAGACCCCCUCUGGCCCUGGAGGAGACAAGAAAUUAUCAAAGAGAUUGAGGGCUGCCCUCGAAGGAAAACCUCUUCUCUAAAUAAUAUUUCUUUUUAGGCUUAGCAUCCAAUGUAAAGUAGAAAUAGAUCUUCUAGUUUCUACUAGAUUGAGAGAGAUAGAGUGGAGGUGUGGAUCGGAGGAAGGCCGACCUGUCGGUGUCUACUCCGAGUUGUACCUACGGGAUCAAGUCUCCUAACCUGAGGCUUGCUUCUAAGAUUCUUCAGUAAUUCGACUUCUAAUACUAGUAAGUUCUUGUUUUAUUGUUCUUUGGUUUAUGAGUUUACUUUAAUCCUCUUCCGGUUGAGUAUUAGAGUAAUCACUUGUUAGCGUAAACAUGGUGUUUAGGCUAGGUUACUCAUAGAUAUCCCCUGACUAGCUGGACCGUGGUAGUAACGAGGAACGUGACAUUUCCGAGUUACCUUUGUAGAUCACAUCUCGUUAGUAGGACGGGUAGGGUUAUAGGUGCGGGUCGAACAUCCUUUGUGUUGUCUAGAUUCCGUGAGCCUCCCCAAUAGAACAGUAGAUCAUCCUUACCAAGGUUAGAACGAGACUACGGUUGCAGUCUUCUCUAUACAUCACUCACAUCGAGAGACAUUCUUUGUAGCCUAAAGGGAUAGUAGCAAUAGAUUUGGUUAGUCAGAUGCACCCUUUCUCCCAGUGGUAAAAAUAUAAAUACGAUAACUCUGGAUAACCUCCCGGGUGAAAUGCUCACCGAUAUCCGUGCGCUUGCGGAUCAUUUUCUAAUUGCGUUACCAAAUAUCAACAAGCAUUUCUGGCGCCGUUGCCGGGAAGAAAGACGGUUUGCUGAGAUAACUUUGAGUCUUGCUAUUAUCUUGUAUUAUACUUUUAUACUUUUAUUCUUUUAUCUUUUUAUUUUUAUCUUUAUGGAUAAUUUAAAUUCCAUACCUAUUAUUGAAUUCUUUGCACCUUCGGAGACCAGCCAUAGACCAUGGGAGUCAACACGUUCUGCCCCUAAUUAUGAUCUGUGUCCGGAGUUGAUUGCAAUAGGUCAAAACCAACCCUUUUCUAUAGCUGAGGUCCUAUCUUUUAAUCAAAAAGAUAAUGCACUUUUAGCUACACCUAGGGAAUAUUUUAAUCUUUUUAUAAAUUCUGGUUUAGACCUAGCCCUACAAGACCAUGUUUUUCCUAGAUAUUUUCACAUUGGUCUUAAUCAUAUAACCUUUGGUAGAGUCUUUCUUUCUUUAUCUAUUAGUAAAGGAAGGUAUGUCUUCAUUCGUAGACAUCCUUCUUGCACUAGUCUUCAUAGAAAAAUCUUAGAGAUAGAGAAGGAAUCAUCUCCCAUACAAGGAGAGGAAGUUUCAAUAGCCGAUUUCCAAACAUUUCAAUCCCAUAAUUCGGCUAUCCAACCCAUCCUUGAGCUUAAUAGUUUCUACUAUGCUCUUCCUCUUGGACCUCCCGAUAAUCCUAUGAAUCUUUCUAGACAUCCCAUGCAUAAGAAGGAGGAUCGAGAAGAGCAACAUCAAUGGCUAGAGGGCAUUAAAAAUCCUUGUGCUAUCACCAUUGAAUGGAUAGAUAAAACAAACUUGACAGACAAUCCUAGAGGAAUUUUAAACAUUCAUGAAGAAUAUUCCUUGGAGUUUGAGAAUGAGAGAAACAACAGUGAGCAUGGAAGUUAUUUCAUAAAUACCUCACCCAGUCCUUGCUCAUAUAAAACAUCUCUCCAAUCAAUUUGUCUCUCCAUCCUUACCACAUUUGAGAUCUCCAACCCCAUCUUCUUUUCUAUUUAUAAAAACUUUAAAAGGGCAGCUGUCGAUGCAUAUGUCUAUAAUAAAUAUUGCAGAUCUCGUUGAGUUAAUUGAUGGUUCCCCAAGGACAAGCUUAGUGUCCUAAAACAAGCAUUUCUAAUUAUUUGCAACAUUGCCUUGUGUAUUGAGCAUAUAAAGAUAAUUGUAGAAAUAUUCCUUCGGGUAUUCUUGCCACUAACCUUUCUAGGAUUGGGGCAAGAAGAUCGGAUGAAUGACAAGCGCAAGGUAUGCCCAACCAAUCAUCAUGCAACAUUAAAUUAAAUUCAUCCAAUCUUGAAUUUUGCAAAAUUCAAGCUUGGGGGAGUACUUUACAUAAAACAUCCUUUGCCAUGUUGCUAUGUUGGUUGUCCUUACCUUUGAGACAUGCUCAAUUUGUUAAAUACUAAUCACACUACUUCAUCUCCACUUGAGUAGAUCUCUAUAAAAGCCAUCAUGCUACCUUUGUUUAUCCUAGUAAGUGAUAGUUUGGAAGUACUGGUCACACUUCCAAUGGCAUUUAAAUUAAGCGUGGUGCUUAGGUUAAAUAGCCUUCCUUAAUCUGAUUAGACAUGGAGUCUAGUUUGGUUACUGAACUAAAAACUGCUUGAGUAGAUAUUGGUAUAUUUUGUUGGACUAACCCCUGUAGGAAAACUUUUAAUAUCAACCUGGGAAGUCCUGAGAUGCAAACUCAUUAGAGAUGAAGAAAGUGACACAUGAAGUUUAACAAUUUGCACAAGAAAUACGUAGCUCACAAGAGAUGAUUCAUGGAGGGUGCCACAAAUACGAUGCACAACCGCUAAGAAAGGAAAGCUUCCACAAGGUGAUACUGUACCAUCACUCUUCAAGUAAGGUAACAUCUUAAGGUACUUGACUAACACUUUUAUAAGCUCCUCCUUGGUUCUGGCAUUCACAUAAUAAAGAGACAAACAUGUAUGAUUUAUAACUCCAAAUUAACCAACUCAAUUAAUUCAACAUGUUUAGUCCUUUAAUCUUUGUUCUUAGUACUACCUUCGUGACCCCACACUCCUAAUCAUAUAAGCUAAAGUAUUGCACAUGCAAUCUUUGGAAGAUAUAAACAAAACAUAAAUAUAGAUAGAUUAUCUUUCCAUUAGGUUGAGCCAUCUGAUCUAACAAAUGUUUUAAAUGCUACACUCAUGAUCCAUCAACUUUGUCUUGCUCACUAUGCUUAAGGUUAGAGAAGAAAAAAUACACUUUUGGUUCUGUUGGUGUUUUCCACCAACAGGGCCCAUGCACUUGAUCUCUGCCUUGUCUCUAUGAGCAGGACACAUUUUGAGAAACGUGAAGGCGUUUUACAACUCCCAGAUUCCAUCAAGUGAAGAACCGGGAUCUACAAGCACAAACACAAUGGAGAUCAGACACUUAGUUUCCCAAAGGAACAUUGAAGAACCCCCGUGUCCGAGUUGGUACCUUGUACACUCCUGCAAACUUCGUGGUGAUAGAGACUGGUAGUGAGGAGAGAGCACCCAUCAUCUUAGGGAGGCCAUUCCUAAACACCAGAGCAGUCAUCUACGCUAAUGCUGCCAAGAUCAGUCUCUACAUCAAGGGGAAGAAGGAGAGUUUCCUUCAAGAACAAGACUACACAAGCUUCAGAGCAAACCCGACAUGAACCAAGGAAGAGGACCAACAGGAGGAACAGGAACAAGCAAAUGUGGACUGAGUCAGCUAAGAUGGUCACUGCAGUUCAAAGAGGUCAAGAUCGUCGACUCAAGUCGCCAUUCCUGAUCAAGAAGGACAACCCUGGUGUUCCAAGCAUCGAGUGCACAAUCAACGGAUACUCUUUUCAGAAGACACUCUACGACACCGGAUCUAACGACAACAUAAUGGCCGUAGUCACUUAUCAGCUCCUGCAUGGAAUCAUGCCCCUACAACCAACAUACAUUCAGCUCUAGAUGAUUUUCAGGUCAUUGUCAUGGGAGAAGACGAGUACGAUCCACCCAUCAUCCUUGGAAGACCGUUCCUCAAACACUAUCAAAGCUAUUAUCUAUAUUGGAACCGAAGAAGUCCACAUGCACUUCCCCUCUGAGAAGGUACGCCACUACUUUAAUGAUUCUAACUAUAUAAUUGAAAAUCCUAAGCAGGUCAGGACAAGAAGAAGGCGACGCAACCGAAAUCACAGGAGGCAAAUCAUCAAGGACGGAUGGGUAGACUACGAAGGAGAAGUGAUAAGGUCUGAAGACAUACCACUUGAACAUAACUGUCCUGAGGAGACCGUAGCACCGAGUUAGGUGUGGAGAGAGAAGAUAGUUAUACACGAAGAAGAGGCGCCGCCGGAAUCACCGACUACACCACCUAGCGAAUCCCAGGACGACUGAAAACACAAGGAGUCCCGCUCGGAGGACUUAAAAACACCGAACGCCUUGCCAAGAGGUAAACUUGGUAGUUAUCCUUUCCCUUUUAAUUAUUUCAAAUAGUUUACUUAGUUAAUCAUGUUCGUAUUAUCUUAGAAAGAAAAUAAAAAUGUGAAAAAAAACUGUAAGCCCCAUAUGAGUAGACGAGUGGCAUAAAACCCAUAAGUACAUUCACUGUGGUGGCAUAAAAAUAAAAUAAAUAUUUUUCUGCUUCAUAAAAACAAAAAUAUAAAAACAGGGAGUAAUAUUUAUUAAGGAGUCUCAACAUGAUAAAGGCUAGAUAUUUAUGCUAACACUUAACCUGUUCCACAAAGCUUUGUUGUCUAUUUGAGCUCCACAGAAUUUAAGAAUCAAGAAGACUAGCAGACGGAGGACAUUCUCAUCGCUGUCAAAAUACUGCUGACUUUCAAACACACCUCUGCCACCUGCUAGCUACAUCAAGAGAAAUUACGUCAAAAUCCAGCUUGGGGGAGAGCACCCCCAUUUAUCUCGAUAAGUAUUUCUAUCUAUCUUUAUACUUAUACUAUAUUAGAAUAUAAAUACACAUAACUAUAAAAAACCAAAUAAAGAUUUUAUGCUUAUAUAUAUUUUGCUUAGUAUGUUUAAUAAAUAAAUAAAGUGGCUAUGCUAAUCUAUAUCUAAUAAAACUUAAGCAUGGAUAUGAUGAAUAGUUGCUCUGCCUAAUUUGCAAAUUUGAAGUUCUCUCUCAAGUUUAGAUAUAACUGUUAUAAUUUAAGGCUUGCUCUAGACCUAAACUUGUGGGAUGAAAAUUUGAUCUGAAGUCUAAGUUGUUAACGGAUACGAUAUGGGAAGGUUGAGCUGCUGUUUAUCUGUUCCUAGAGAUGCUAGAAUUCUGGAGAAUUUUAUCUUUGAAAAUCUUUAAAAUGUUGCAUGAUGAGUUCCUGUAUGAUGAGAGUUUAAAUUCCUACCACAGCCAUAUAUACAUGCUUGCUAGACCUUGAGCCACACAUUUACUAUUUACUGCUUAUGAGCAUUGAGUGUGGUCAAGCUAUGUAGACCCUUAGGAGCUUGUCAUGUGGUUAAAAUCAAGAUUCAAUUGCACGAUUACUCAUACAUGCUACUUCUACUCCGGAAGUACCAUCCACAUAUAUCCACUCAUUUCUAUCUCCAGUUUUACCCAAAAUUAUUCUACUCCUAAUCCGGGAGAGAAUAGCCAAAAACAUUUUCCUAUCCCUGUUAUUCCCCGUGAAAUAAAUGCUCCAGUUAUUUUGGUUACUACCACUUGCUACAUUAUUUCAGGAGAUGAGUGCUCUAGAAAGAAAAAAAGAAAAAAGAAGAAAAAAAAUAAAUAAUAUACGAGGAAAUAAAAAGGGGCAAGUGCCCGGAACCUCGAAGAAAAGAAAAAGUGAGACGAGAGGUAAAAAUGGACAAGUGUCCGAUAGUAGAAUUAGGGGUACAAGAUACCCACCUGAGAGGUAAGAAAAAGAAAAUAUAGGGCAUCUCAUUCUCCCCAAAAAGCUUCUAAGUGCAAGAAAGGUAUGUAUCCCCUUAAAAGAGCAAAAGUAGAAUUAGACUUUCACCAUUGUUAUCACCAUCAUCACCAUACACCAUACAUUCGCCACACAUGCACAUCUUGAUUUGACUUAUUGACUUGAUUCUUUGGAUCCAUGGUUUGACUAUGCAAUAAAUGUCUUGUAAGUAUGUAUACUUUAUCUCCCACCUAUGAGCUCCAGAUAUUAAAGCCUUAUUAGAGUAGGGUGAGAGAGAAGACAAUGACACUAUGCUUCAUACCACAAAUACUACAUAUUUUGAGUGAAGGCAUAUACCAUCACUGCCUUGGUAAGGAUCCAAAAAUACCACAAAAGAGAGACCUGAGAGAAUCAUACAAGGAAUUUCUGAGUUUUAUUUGAAAAUCUGCAAAAACCCCAGAGCUAUAGCUGAUCAAGAAUAAGAGACAUGGCACUUGGCUAGACUGUUCUAUCUUUUAACCACUCAAGACAGAAGUGACGGUUACAAGUCCUAUGGUGUAGGUAAAGUAAGUAAGUUUUAAGUCUUAACAGUUUAUUCUAACUCAGAGAUGAGAUCUUGUUUAAAUGCGUGUGUACUUCUAAGAAAUGAAACCACUGCAGAAACUCUUGAGUUCAUCCUUGCUCAGGGACGAGCAAGAGGUAAGCUUGGGGGAGUUUGUUGACGGUCCUUAAGUAUCAAAUUUAAUUAUCAAAUAAACAAAGAAAAGGAUCCAAAUGAAAUCAACAUCUAGACUUAGGGUUUUAUCUGACAGAAUUCCACGAGUUUUGGUGUUUGUCUAUUUCUGCAGGGGGUUAUCAGGAAAUAAGGAAGAAAGGCCCACAUGUCGCGAUUACAUAGAGAUAUCAACCCACCGUGCAAUUUUCUACCAUCUAGAAGACUCCAGAAGACACGGGAAUGAAGCGGAGCCCGAAAGGGGCCAGGCCCAGGGCGCCCGCCCUGAGGACCUGGGCGCCCGCCCCCCUCUGGACUCCGUUCCGGACUCUCUUCGCACACGACGUUCCACCGACCUAUUGGAUCCAGAAUAACAUAGUACCACCUCGCCUAUCGACCCAAAAACGCAUAGAAGGGGAGGACUAUAUAAGGAGACCCCCUCUGGCCCUGGAGGAGACAAGAAAUUAUCAUAGAGAUUGAGGGGUGCCCUCGAAGGAAAACCUCUUCUCUAAAUAAUAUUUCUUUUUAGGCUUAGCAUCCAAUGUAAAGUAGAAAUAGAUCUUCUAGUUUCUACUAGAUUGAGAGAGAUAGAGUGGAGGUGUGGAUCGGAGGAAGGCCGGCCUGUCGGUGUCUACUCUGAGUUGUACCUACGGGAUCAAGUCUCCUAACCUGAGGCUUGCUUCUAAGAUUCUUCAGUAAUUCGACUUCUAAUACUAGUAAGUUCUUGUUUUAUUGUUCUUUGGUUUAUGAGUUUACUUUAAUCCUCUUCCGGUUGAGUUUUAGAGUAAUCACUUGUUAGCGUAAACGUGGUGUUUAGGCUAGGGUACUCAUAGAUAUCCCCUGACUAGCUGGACCGUGGUAGUAGCGAGGAACGUGACAUUUCCGAGUUACCUUUGUAGAUCACAUCUCGUUAGCAGGACGGGUAGGGUUAUAGGUGCGGGUCGAACAUCCUUUGUGUUGUCUAGAUUCCGUGA
Molecule: long non-coding RNA, 13068 nt
Filed under: Sorghum bicolor (sorghum)
Lineage: Eukaryota; Viridiplantae; Streptophyta; Magnoliopsida; Poales; Poaceae
Description: long non-coding RNA (SBIC_LNC012288)
Source: RNAcentral